Long non-coding RNA from Vigna unguiculata (cowpea), 1663 nucleotides. RefSeq lists it as uncharacterized. The record is from RefSeq and is a predicted model, not a curated record. NCBI's taxonomy places the organism in Eukaryota, Viridiplantae, Streptophyta, Magnoliopsida, Fabales, Fabaceae.
GUGUUCAACUUUUUAUAACAUGUCUAACAGAGUCUUUACGAUAGAGUCGUCCACUUCUUCGUUUCAGUGCUAUUAAGCACUUCUUCACCCCAAAAAAGGGUACUUAAGUUAAGCAAUUUGCUCUAGAAUACUCUUUGGAAGAACUUAUAGCGUCAUGCAAUAUUAGUAUGGAGACUAGAGGGACUGCAAAAAGUUCACUGCUAUAUCCUCACGGUGGUGUGAAAAUUUUGGCAUGAGAACAAGCUCUACUGUUGUUUGGCAAGGAUUUGAAAGUUCAGGUUCUGAUGUGAGUGUUUGCGGUGAAGUUGUUAUUACUGAAAGUCUUCUCAAGUUGUUCUCUAAAAUUACUUCUUUGGAAGCUAAAAGGGGAUACGCUGGUUUUCAUGAAGAGAUUUUGUAAUUGACAGUGCACUCAACCAAGCUGAAGAAGGCUGAGAUAAUUGAGGCUGCAAGUUGAAAACGCAGUAGGGAGGUCUCUAACAAAGAACAUACCAAGAUUUGUUCUGAAGUAUUUACAUCAGAUUGAGUACAUCAUGAAAAACUGAGGAUGUUUUGAACAGUUUACUGUGUGAUAGCAGGAUGUUUAUUAUCAUAUCAAGAGGCCCCAAGAUCAGCUGGGUCCCCAACCAUUAGAAAAGGUAAAAGCAAAAGUGGUAACUCGUGAUCGUCUACUGUUUGGUUUAACUUUCUGGUUCAAUCGGAUUCCUGAUUUCCUAUUGGGAUUUCUUGUUUAGUUUCAGCAUUGUAAAAGAACUUAUGAUUGCUACUAGAAUGGGACCAAAAAGUGAUCUUAUCUUUCAUCACUAUGCCUUUGACGUUUCAGCCUCUUUCAGGACACACCAGCCUCUAUCGACUCACUUUACCACUUCAUUCUUUUCAUUGCCACGGAAACCGCUUCAAUUCCAUCUCAAUUUUUUUUCUACAUAACUCUUAUAAACAUAAGAUCUUCAACUACAAAAACAAUAACCAAGUUGUGAAGUUGGCUUUAGGGAAAAAAAAAAGAUAAUUGAUAUGAAAUGAAUGAAAAGGUGAAACCAAAUGACCCUCAUUUGACUCAUUGAUGACCACUGCAAGUGCAAAGAAAGAGUGUGACUUACUGUUUGUUUGUUUGUUCGUUCGUUUGUUAAUGCUCCGUGGACAUUACACUUGUAAAAGAAUGGUCAUUUCUUUGAAAACAAAAUGAUCCAUCAGCUGAAACUGAAUUUUCAUGUGUCUAAUCAAACGUGAAAGUUAUUUGCAUCCCUUGGUUUCUCUUCCCCUGGCCUAAAAGAAGUGGCAAUAGGUGGUAGAAAAUGAAGAAAAAAAAAAGCAUGCGAUUGGUUGAGUUUGGCUUGAGUGUGAAGAAUAUACUGCUGGUGGUAGAGGUACCAAGAGGAGAAGCAUGAUUACAAAGGGGGGGCCAGUGUUGAAAGUUGAAACUAUGACCACCUAUAGUCGCCAUCGCAUCUCACAAAGGAAAAUGAUGGAACUCUCCUUUUUCAAAUGUUUCAUGUCACAUAUGCGAGCUUCUAAAAAGGCUGGUUACAUAAUUCACCGUCCAAAUUCCCCACUCUUAUCCAUAUCUAUGCAUAUAGUGGGAAGAGAACUUCUAAUGUAAUGAAGUGGUCAUUGACGUGCGAUCAUUUUUUUCCCACGCCGCCACCAAAACUAGAACAAACCAAAA